This 492-nucleotide ribosomal RNA is filed under the name uncultured bacterium. RNAcentral's name for it is "partial 16S ribosomal RNA". It matches the Rfam family "Bacterial small subunit ribosomal RNA", at positions 29 to 507 of the family's 1533-position model. The record is from RNAcentral.
AGUGAACGCUGGCGGUAGGCCUAACACAUGCAAGUCGAACGGCAGCACAGUAAGAGCUUGCUCUUACGGGUGGCGAGUGGCGGACGGGUGAGGAAUACAUCGGAAUCUACUUUUUCGUGGGGGAUAACGUAGGGAAACUUACGCUAAUACCGCAUACGACCUACGGGUGAAAGCAGGGGAUCUUCGGACCUUGCGCGAUUGAAUGAGCCGAUGUCGGAUUAGCUAGUUGGCGGGGUAAAGGCCCACCAAGGCGACGAUCCGUAGCUGGUCUGAGAGGAUGAUCAGCCAAACUGGAACUGAGACACGGCCCAGACUCCUACGGGAGGCAGCAGUGGGGAAUAUUGGACAAUGGGCGCAAGCCUGAUCCAGCCAUACCGCGUGGGUGAAGAAGGCCUUCGGGUUGUAAAGCCCUUUUGUUGGGAAAGAAAAGCAGCAGGUUAAUACCCCGCUGUUCUGACGGUACCCAAAGAAUAAGCACCGGCUAACUUCGUG